Molecule: ribosomal RNA, 254 nt
Filed under: uncultured bacterium
Lineage: Bacteria
Description: partial 16S ribosomal RNA
Rfam family: Bacterial small subunit ribosomal RNA
Source: RNAcentral
GACAGAGGGUGCUAGCGUUGUUCGGAAUUAUUGGGCGUAAAGAGCUCGUAGGCGGUGUGUCACGUCGGCCGUGAAAACCUGCAGCUUAACUGUGGGCGUGCGGUCGAUACGGGCAUCACUGGAGUUCGGCAGGGGAGACUGGAAUUCCUGGUGUAGCGGUGAAAUGCGCAGAUAUCAGGAGGAACACCGGUGGCGAAGGCGGGUCUCUGGGCCGAUACUGACGCUGAGGAGCGAAAGCGUGGGGAGCAAACAGG